AGCUUGCUUUUUGAAAGUUAGCGGCGGACGGGUGAGUAACACGUGGGCAACCUGCCUGCAAGACGGGGAUAACUCCGGGAAACCGGGGCUAAUACCGGAUAAUAUCUUCCUUCGCAUGAAGGAAGGUUGAAAGGCGGCGCAAGCUGCCGCUUGCAGAUGGGCCCGCGGCGCAUUAGCUAGUUGGUGAGGUAACGGCUCACCAAGGCGACGAUGCGUAGCCGACCUGAGAGGGUGAUCGGCCACACUGGGACUGAGACACGGCCCAGACUCCUACGGGAGGCAGCAGUAGGGAAUCUUCCGCAAUGGACGAAAGUCUGACGGAGCAACGCCGCGUGAGCGAAGAAGGUCUUCGGAUCGUAAAGCUCUGUUGUCAGGGAAGAACAAGUACCGUUCGAACAGGGCGGUACCUUGACGGUACCUGACCAGAAAGCCACGGCUAACUACGUGCCAGCAGCCGCGGUAAUACGUAGGUGGCAAGCGUUGUCCGGAAUUAUUGGGCGUAAAGCGCGCGCAGGCGGUCUCUUAAGUCUGAUGUGAAAGCCCACGGCUCAACCGUGGAGGGUCAUUGGAAACUGGGAGACUUGAGUGCAGAAGAGGAGAGCGGAAUUCCACGUGUAGCGGUGAAAUGCGUAGAGAUGUGGAGGAACACCAGUGGCGAAGGCGGCUCUCUGGUCUGUAACUGACGCUGAGGCGCGAAAGCGUGGGGAGCGAACAGGAUUAGAUACCCUGGUAGUCCACGCCGUAAACGAUGAGUGCUAAGUGUUAGAGGGCUUCCACCCUUUAGUGCUGCAGCUAACGCAUUAAGCACUCCGCCUGGGGAGUACGGCCGCAAGGCUGAAACUCAAAGGAAUUGACGGGGGCCCGCACAAGCGGUGGAGCAUGUGGUUUAAUUCGAAGCAACGCGAAGAACCUUACCAGGUCUUGACAUCCUUCGCUACCUCUAGAGAUAGAGGGUUCCCCUUCGGGGGACGGAGUGACAGGUGGUGCAUGGUUGUCGUCAGCUCGUGUCGUGAGAUGUUGGGUUAAGUCCCGCAACGAGCGCAACCCUUGACCUUAGUUGCCAGCAUUCAGUUGGGCACUCUAAGGUGACUGCCGGUGACAAACCGGAGGAAAGGGGGGGGAUGACGUCAAAUCAUCAUGCCCCUUAUGACCUGGGCUA
RNAcentral lists this ribosomal RNA (1159 nucleotides) under Bacillus sp. (in: firmicutes). RNAcentral's name for it is "bacterial SSU rRNA". It matches the Rfam family "Bacterial small subunit ribosomal RNA", at positions 77 to 1216 of the family's 1533-position model. Lineage: Bacteria; Bacillati; Bacillota; Bacilli; Caryophanales; Bacillaceae. The record is from RNAcentral.